CCUCACCGCCGCCGCGCCCGCGCAUUUCCUGGUAUUCCGGACCCCGCGUUCUGGUGGGCUGUCACCGACCCGAAAACUCCUGCAGAGCCACCUGUGGGCUCGGUGGCAGCCGCCUAGCCGGGCUCUGCCUCCUUCCCGGCGCCUCCAACAAUAAUCCACACUUCCGCUGCUGCCUGGGCGCCUACUGUGUGCAGGCCACAGCUAGAGGCGGCCAGGUUGGGGGGGUCGGUGGGGUGAGGGGACCGGUGAGCUUCGGAAGCCUUGGAGGCUUGGGUCUACGUGCUAGAUCCAAGCUCGCUGCAGAAUCUCUGGACAGAACUGUGUGAUUAGAGAGCUCCAAUGGAGGGGUCACGGUGGAGAAGCCUCCAGGGCGUCGGGGAUGAAAGAAAACCCAGGGUGGCUGGAGACCCCAGGGGACCAGGACACAGUAAGUCUGAGCAAUUACCCG
This 448-nucleotide long non-coding RNA is filed under the name Marmota monax (woodchuck). Lineage: Eukaryota; Metazoa; Chordata; Mammalia; Rodentia; Sciuridae. The record is from RNAcentral.